ACCUGAAAGUUUAUAGCAAAUUUAUUCAAAUUCACCAAAACUAGAAAUAUCUUACAAAUUCAUCAGUUAGUGAAUGGAUAAUAAAACUGUGGUACAUCCACACAAUGAAGUACUACUCAGUGAUAAAAAGGAGUGAAAGAAGCCAGACCAAAAGGGCUACGUAUUGCAUGAUUCCACUUAUAUGACUUCUGGAAAAGGCAAAACCAUAGAGAUGAAGAACAAAUUGAUCAUUUCCAGAGAUUGAGUAUGGGGCAAAGGGUUGAAUACAAAAAGAGCCACCAAGAGAAAUUAUUAAAGUGACAGAACUUCUGUGUAUGGUACUAGUGUAGAAGAUACAUGACUGUGCAUUUGUCAAAACCCAUAGAACCAUACACUAAAAAGAAUGAAUUUUACUGUGUGUAAAUUACAAAUACAAAUUUUAAAGAAAUAAAGGUAUAUUUUUACCUAUUAAAUUAGCAGAGAUUUACAAAAAUAGAAAGGCCAUGUUUUGAUGAAUGUAUGGAGGGAUAUUCACAUUUAUACACUACUGGUGGGAAUGUAAUUUGCACAACUGUAUUGAGGAAAACUCAACACCACCUGUCAGAUGCUCUACUAAAUGCUCUCAUCAUCCAAACCAAAUAAUUUUAAUUCUGGAACCUUAUUCUAAAGAAAUAAUUACAGAUGUGCAUAAAGGUUAAUGUACAAUGAUGUUCUUCAUUACAUUUAAAUUUUAUAAGCAAACUUGAUAAUAAUCAAAAUGUCCAAUAACAUGAUAUCAUCUAAAUAAACUUUGUUAAAUCCAUAAGACAUUAUGUAGCACUUAAUAUUGUAUUUUUCAAAGAAUGAUAACAUGGAAAUACACUUGUGAAUUUUCAAAUGAAAAAAUUAAAUAAAAUGGUAUAUACAAUAUGAUGUCAAUUUUGUUAUAAAACUGUGUUAUAUACAUAAUUUUUUAAAAGACUGAAAGGACAUACACCUGAAUAUUACAAAUUAUUGUUUUCUGGCUUAUAAAAUUAUACAUAUUAUUUAGUUUUUAAUUCAUACUUUGCACUUUAUUUUUUAACAAUGAUCACCUGUUACUUUUAUCAUGAAGGAAAACAUUUUUUUUUACUUUUAAAAAACAAGCCCAGCCCAAUCUAGCCAAGCCCAUGAUCUUUUCAGUUGCUAUCUUCACUCAAAAUGCCACACUGUUGUCCACUGGGUGCUUAUUGUCCUCUUGCUCCUUUAGGUACUGCACUCACUGGUGAUAAACAUCUGCCAAAAUGAGAGUGCAGGUGGCAGCAUCCCUCCAAGCACAUUAAAUCUUUCAGUUAAACUGGCCUAGUAAGCCAUAGGCUGAUACUGGGAUCAAUCUCCAUGACCUAUAUAGGGAACCAAUGUUUUGAAAAGCUAUAAUGCCCACCUUAUGUAAUUGGGAGUUUCCCCUCUUCUAAAUCUCUUCUAUGAAAUAGUAUUUUGCAACCCUUCUCCAAAGCAACUCUAGAUAUUCCAUCAUGCCCUGGGGAAUGACAAAUAGUAGGUCCAAGGAUAGACUUUCCAUUGUACUAUUUCCUGAUGCCAGAUGUGGUGUCUGGGGAUGCCUGGAGCCAUUCUGUCCACUGUCCCUGUCUCAUCUCACCUAUCCAGUUUUUUAAGCUGGCUAUUUAGUACUACUUGUACUAUCUCCUGUGUACUUGAUCCCUUUAGGGGGAGUCACAGACCCCUUGUCACAGAAUCAAAGAAUUCCUCUAAGUUACAAAUCUUGUUUUGGGUUGUUUCUAAAUUGGGUCAAGAGAAACCGCCACAAGGGCAGCUUGACAUGAGAAUAGUGGCUGGCAAUGACUCUCACAGUAGCAACAGAGGUAUUGCAGUGCAACACCUUCUCUCUAAUCCACAUUAAAAAGGUAUGGAUUUAUGAAGUAAGUCUCACUGCCUGCUUCAAAGGAUUACUUCAAAUCCACUGAAGUAACAGAUUUAUGGCAUCUCUCAUUUUCUCCCUUCCUUCCCUCCCUCCAUUCCUAAGGGCAGUAAGUUCCCUCCUAUCUUCAUUUACAAACAUCAGAGAUCUCAGGUUUGCCUCAUUCGUGUAAGCUUCUAAGUCCAAUCUCCACUAAAUUAUGUCAAGCAUCUGUAACUCCAUUGUGGAAUUUCAUAGCCUCCUUCUCUUUCCUCUCUAUUUUUAAAAUCUUUAAAAAUACUUAUUUCAGUAAUUUUGGGGGUACAAGUGGUUUUUGGUUGCAAGGAUGAAUUGUAUAGUGGUGAAGUCUGAGAUUUUAGUGUACCCAUGGUACUGGUAUAAAAGUAGACACAUAGACCAAUGGAACAGAAUAGAGAACCCAGAAAUACAGCCAACUACUUAUAACCAACUGAUCGUUAACAAAGCACACAAAAAUAUAAACUGGGGAAACGACAUCCUACUUAAUAAAUGGUGCUGGGAAAAGUAGAUAGCCCACAUGUAGAAGAAUGAAACUGAAUCCAUCUCUCUUACCUUACAUAAAAAUCAACUCAAGAUAGAAUAAUGACUUAAAUCUGAGACCUGAAAUCAUAACAUUCCUACAGUAUAACCAUGAAAAACUUUUCUGGACACUGGCCUAGGCAAAUAAUUCACGACUAAGACCCCAAAAGCAAAUGCAUCUGCCUCUCUUUUUAUAUCCAAGGGCAACAUGAAUGUAACUCGCAACACUCUCUAAGGUUUCAUUCACUCAUUCACAAUAAAACUUCCAGAUGGGGGCUUGUUGGAGACAAAUGUCUUAGGAUGACAGAAAGCAAAAAAGACCUACUGAAACUCAUCAAGGUGGGGAAAGAAAUGGAAGAAGGUCAGUGAGAGCAAGAAAUUCCCUAGGAUGACUCCAGAAAAGAAAAAUGAGGCAAGAGCCAGGAUAAGGUGACAGAAGGUGUGAGCAAAGGUCUCCUGAGGAUUCAUUAGGAAUGUAUUUGAUUCAGGCACGGUGGCUAACGCCUGUAAUCCCAGCACUUUGAGAGGCCAAGGCAGGCAGAUCACUUGAGGUCAGAAGUUCGAGACCAGCCUGGCCAACAUGGUGAAACCCCAUCUCUACUAAAAAUACAAAAAUUAGCUGGGUGUGGUGGCAUGUGCUUGUAGUCCCAGCUAUUCGAAAGGCUGAGGCAGUAGAAUCGCUUUAACUCAGGAGGCAGAGGUUGCAGUGAGCCAAGAUGCCAAGAUGGCGCAACUUGGAGUCCAAGUUGCGCCAGCUUGGGCGACAGAGCACUCCAGUUUGGGCGACAGAGAAAGACUCCAUCUCCCCCCUGAAAAAAGGAAGGUAUUUGUUUUUUGUUUUUUUUUUUUUUUGAGACGGAGUCUCGCUCUGUCGCCCAGGCUGGAGUGCAGUGGCCGGAUCUCAGCUCACUGCAAGCUCCGCCUCCCGGGUUCGGGCCAUUCCCCUGUCUCAGCCUCCUGAGUAGCUGGGACUACAGGCGCCCGGCUAGUUUUUUUUUUUUUGUAUUUUUUAGUAGAGACGGGGUUUCACCGUGUUAGCCAGGAUGGUCUCGAUCUCCUGACCUAGUGAUCCGCCCGUCUCGGCCUCCCAAAGUGCUGGGAUUACAGGCUUGAGCCACCGCGCCCGGCCAGGAAGGUAUUUGAAAUGCACAAGAAUUUCCACUUUCCCUAUACACUAUCCUGCCCAUCCUCAAGAGAGACAAAAACUAACCAGGACUCCUGAUACUGUUUUUGUUCAUAUCUGUAUAUCCUAAAACAAGGACAUGUCUGAUGACCAAAUCAAAAGGGGGACCUGGGAUGGGGAAAGCCCUCCUACUGGUAUUUAAUGACCAGUUGAGACAUCAGGCACAAAUCCUGGAGCUGGAGUUCGCAGAGUUGCUGGCCUUGGCUACAUCUCCAAUGGCUGACAUGAGAUCAGGUAAGGCAUGGGCAUCAGAGUAAUCGAUUUAAGUAUUUUUCAACUCCCGCCAUAACUAUGACAAAUUCAACCUCAACCUUAGCAUUCAUGCCUCUCUGGGUCUUAAGUGAUAGGAAGAAAGUGCAAAUGAAAGAGGGUGACUCCCAAAGGCAUAUACGUGGGAAAGAAAAGUACCAGUGGAAGGAGAAAGUUAUGGCAUUUGUUUGAUCUCAUCAGUGAUAUGUCUUACUUAUAAGGCUUAAGGAAAAAGUAAACAAAUAUAAGCACAAGGAUUGGGGUUACUUUCAAAUCAGCUGACUACUCUCCUUCUAUGAAGCUGGGUCAUUUAUUGCUGAAAUCCAAACCCAUCUCUGGUGGCCUAUAUUCCAGCAGUGGGGGGUCCACAACAUUACUGAAGGCCUAACAGAGCAAGUACUCUAUCAUGUUUCAAGAAUUUUUUUUUCCGUAAACAUGGGAAGCUGUAUGGAAAGUAACUGUUUAUAUAUACAUAUCCGUGAGUAUAAUAACUUCUGAAAUGUGACAAGAGAAAAGAGAAAUCUAAGCAUGCAUUUGAAAAUAGCAACCUGUGGUCUGGAGAGGAUCUUAAUAGUGAUGCCUUUGUUGAAUGAUGCUUUGUGAAGCUGAGAUGAAGAGAGGUUGUAGUCGUCCCCUGCUACUUCUUUCCUUUUCUUCUCCCUCACAUGAAGUCUUCUACCAGCUCCUCCUCAGGAAUAAAUAUAAAGCAGCCCCUACAAGAGGGGAUGGGUUGUCUGAGGGCCUGAUCACUUUAACACAGUGGUUCUUAAACUUCUUUUGGAAUAUUGAGUCAUUUGGAGAAUAUAAAAGACAUGAAUCCUCUCCCCAGUAAAAUGUACUCAAAAGAAAAAUGUCUGCAUGCCAUGUCAGAGGUUUUAUAGACUUUUUUCUCCUAAGCUUUACCUUCCAAGUCCUUCAGGCCAUCUCUCUGCCUCAAUUGCAGCCGUCUUCCAUAAUAGCACAGGGAAAUUCUACAAUACGGACCACUAAACUGGAUGUAUUCUGACCCCACAAUGGCUUUUACAAAGUAGUUGUUACUCACCUAUUGAUGUGAACUUUCUUUUGUUCUACCCUUUAUCCUAAAAAGCUGAAUUCAUAGGAUUGUGUCUUGCUCUGGUUAAUCAAUGUGUGUAUUAUGACUGGCUUUUUGUUGUUGUUGUUGCUUUUUAAGAGCAGCACUAGCUCACUUUUCAACUCAGAGGCUCUGAAGCCAAAGUACAUUAUGGAACAUGGCCAACAAAUGCUUGUAACAUGUAACUAACUUAGGUCAAGAUCAAGGAAAAAUUUAGAUACUAAAUAAAUCUUUUUAUGCUACUUCAAGCUGACUAGCCUGCAGCCCUUUGAAAGAGUUAGGAGACGGCCACAAGAUUCCAGCAGUGCUAAGGGCUAACAGCUCCCCUAGCUGUUCUCACCAGGAAUUGUUGCUCAUUCUCGCACUCCUGAAGUGUGACAGACCCAAAAAAGGUGAAUAGAUAGUAUACAGCGAGGUAUCAGGCAUACAGCAAAUACUCAAUAAAAGAAGGAAUCACCUGGAUCUCUUCUAAGGCUCAUCUACUAUCCCACUACAGCCUUUCUUCUCUAGUAUUUGCACAGUUAUCAUGUGCCAACCUCCAAGUCAUUCCUCACAGUCACUGAAGCCUUUUGUACCUGGCCCAGUGUUCAUUCUAAGCCUAGCUUCUACUGUAAUCCUGGGUUACAAUAAUAGUCAUGUAAAUUAUCAUCUGACAUCCUAGCUUCACAGGUAUCUUAACCACUCCC
Molecule: long non-coding RNA, 5603 nt
Filed under: Macaca fascicularis (crab-eating macaque)
Lineage: Eukaryota; Metazoa; Chordata; Mammalia; Primates; Cercopithecidae
Description: lncRNA (ENSMFAG00000063434.1)
Source: RNAcentral